Molecule: transfer RNA, 76 nt
Filed under: Patescibacteria group bacterium
Lineage: Bacteria
Also listed under: 1 other name
Description: tRNA-Ile
Rfam family: tRNA
About the family: Transfer RNA (tRNA) molecules are approximately 80 nucleotides in length. Their secondary structure includes four short double-helical elements and three loops (D, anti-codon, and T loops).
Source: RNAcentral
GCGCGCUUAGCUCAGUUGGUAGAGCACUCGACUGAUACUCGAGCGGUCCUAGGUUCGAAUCCUAGAGCGCGCACCA